CAUUGAUUUCAUUAUAUUGUUACUGGUUAUGAUCAACUUCGAGAGAUACAUGUAUAGACGAGUCUACUUAAUUAAAGAAGAAAAAGAAAAAUUUGUUCUGUAUGUUCCAACAUCUGUAAAUUGACUCGUAUUAGUUUGUGCUUUCUAUCUCAAGUGUAAGAAUUUAGGAUGUUAGAACUGUAUGAGAAAAUUAUUCACGAAUGGCAGGAAAAAGAUAUGUCGAGACUAAGAAAAAAACAUUUAGGCGAAUAUUCGCAUUCUAUUCCGGAUUAAUAAUUAAUUCCGAUUUCGAUGUUAUUCUUUUUUCCUUUCGAGAGUUUGCGAGAGGUAUGCACUUCCAAUUUUCGCGCGGUGGAUGGAUAGGUCGAUCUCGACGAGAUUUUUCGUUAUAUAUAUAUAUGUAUAGGACUUAUAUAUAAAUUAAUAUUAACUCAAACUUUGUGAGAAUAUAAAUAUGAUAGUUAUAAAUCGAGAAAUUAACGAUACACUUAUAUUGCGUACGAAACAAGAAGAAGAAAAGAAGAGGAAACCCGUAUAUUAUUUGAUAACGAGGAAUCAUAUGAUAAGGUAUAUUCAAUAUUCGACGAGUUUUUAUUGUUUUCUUCUCCUUUUUUUUGUAGUAUCAUUUUUUGAAAGAAGCCUGAUUAGAUUUUUAUAAUGUCUGACUGUACUUGAUCGAGAUAGGGAGAAGAAGCAGCUCAGUUUGUAUCAACGCUUAUGACCGAAUUUAGGGCUGGUAUACCGAAGGAACUUAAUGCGAUGCAUCUUUAAACAGAAUUAGGAACUAUGAAAAAGAGUAUAUAAAUUAUAAAUUCGUGCUCCUUCAGUAUUCCGCGAAUGUGUAUUACAAAUAUUGCUCGGCAUUAAUCUCUGCUUCGGCGUCCGUCUCUAAAAUCGGUCUAAUUAUGACAAGUUAAGAGACAAAGUAACUUGCGCACGUCUUAGUAUUAAUGAAAGAAAAGUAUGAGUGUGUAAAAAAAAAGAUAAUGGUGCGAUCCAGGGUUAAAGUUAACGAUCAGAAACAUUAAAAGACGCGGAGUCCUGCAUUUUCACAAAUAUCUCGGAGCGAUAGAGACUCAGUAAACAUCAAUUAAAGUAACGUAACAUCAGUGUUAUAAUUUCAAACUCAACAACAUAAUGUAUAACACUUGUGUUACAUAAGUUACAUUGUUGAGUUUUUAGGUGAUGUUUACUGGAGACUUUCAUCUUUCCGUUAUUUUUUUCGCGAUAGUUAUUUUAACAAUACAGCUAUUAGCAGCUAUUAACGUUUAUAAUUUGUUUUAUUUGCAAAUCGGGUCGCGCGAGAUGCAAAACUGCCUGCACAAAAAAUUAUUACCCCUAUCGACGCACAACCCGAUUGAAGCGCAUCUUAGCAUGUAGACACGUUCGCUGUGAUAACAGUAUGAUCCUUUUAUCGUGCGAACAAAAGUACAAAAAUUGUACCAGACAUGCCUUAUCGUAAUAAUAAUAAGUGAUGCACUACGAAAGUACUCAUUAUUUUUGACAUUGACAAACGAAUAGAAACGCAUCGCAAACGUAUAGAAAAAUACGAGAAGCUCUGAGAAAAAUACGGGCAGGCGAAUCUUUUAAUAUAACGCGAAAAUGCUGGCAACUUUGCAUCCGUUUGCGCGUCCAUAUCUUGUUGAUCGUUCCAAUUGCAUUUAAUAAUCCGCUACGUGCGCCACAUGUAUUUUUAUCGUCAUUUUAGAUUCUUAAAAAUAGGUUCCUAAUACGCGAAUCAUUAAAUGUGUGUAUGCAUGUUUUACUGUAGCAUUUUACGAUGUUUUUGAAAAUGCUUUGUGAUCUCCGAGCGAAAGAAAGAAGUAGGCCUAUAGUAAUAAAGUCGCUAUUUUACUGCAGAUUGAAAAAAAGGAAAUCUUCGAUUUUGAUCCUUCCCUGAUGACGGAAGGUUCAUCCUUUAACUUUUGUAAGAAAAAAAAA
Molecule: long non-coding RNA, 1941 nt
Organism: Trachymyrmex septentrionalis
Lineage: Eukaryota; Metazoa; Arthropoda; Insecta; Hymenoptera; Formicidae
Exons: 2
Source: RefSeq, a predicted model, not a curated record